UGCAGUGGAGCGACGAACCGGGGCUUGCCCCGGGGCAGAGCCGCGAACGGGUGAGUAACACGUGGGUAACCCACCCCGAUGACCGGGACAACCCGAGGAAACUCGGGCUAAUACCGGAUGUGCCCCUUGAUCACGAGGUCAAGGUGUAAAGAUAGCUUCGGCCUUCGCAUCGGGACGGGCCCGCGGCCCAUUAGCUUGUUGGUGAGGUAACGGCUCACCAAGGCGACGAUGGGUAGCUGGUCUGAGAGGACGAUCAGCCACACUGGGACUGAGACACGGCCCAGACUCCUACGGGAGGCAGCAGUGGGGAAUCUUGCGCAAUGCGCGAAAGCGUGACGCAGCAACGCCGCGUGGGGGAAGACGGCCUUCGGGUUGUAAACCCCUUUCAGUUGGGACGAAGCUCCGCCGGUUAAUAGCCGGUCGGAGUGACGGUACCUUCACAAGAAGCCCCGGCUAACUACGUGCCAGCAGCCGCGGUAAUACGUANGGGGCUAGCGUUGUCCGGAAUCAUUGGGCGUAAAGCGCGUGUAGGCGGCCCGGUAAGUCCGCUGUGAAAGUCGGGGGCUCAACCCUCGAAUGCCGGUGGAUACUGUCGGGCUAGAGUGCGGAAGA
RNAcentral lists this ribosomal RNA (612 nucleotides) under uncultured bacterium. Its description in RNAcentral is "bacterial SSU rRNA". It matches the Rfam family "Bacterial small subunit ribosomal RNA", at positions 56 to 655 of the family's 1533-position model. The record is from RNAcentral.